ACUGGAUCCAACCCUCUCUUUUCUAGUUUCUACUAGUCAUAUCUGUUCAUCGGACAGGUGUCAGAUGAUUACGUCUACUGGAGACAAAUUGACGAAUUACUAACCGUACGCAUGUAAUCUUCACUAUCAAUUCUGCAUUCUUUUCUCACUCCGUAAAUAACCCUAUCCCGCACACCUCCACCCAAAUCCCUAGUACAGACCCUCGAACAUUCGGACCAAACGCUCCUUUUCUCCGUUUCUCGGCAAGGAAAGAUGGGCCGCUCAAGCAGAACUAUCUACGUGGGCAAUCUUCCUGGGGAUAUUCGUGAGAGUGAAGUUGAAGAUUUGUUUUACAAGUAUGGGACCAUUGUCGAAAUUGAUUUAAAAAUUCCUCCAAGACCACCUGGUUAUGCUUUUGUAGAGUUUGAAGAUUAUCGUGAUGCUGAUGACGCCAUUCGUGGCCGAGAUGGUUAUGAUUUUGAUGGUCAUCGAUUGAGGGUUGAACUUGCACAUGGAGGGAGAGGAUCAUCAUAUGAUCGCUAUAGUAGUUACAGCAGUGGUGGUAGUCGUGGUGGACUUUCAAGGCGUUCUGACUAUAGAGUUUUGGUGACUGGGCUGCCUUCUUCUGCUUCAUGGCAAGACUUAAAGGAUCACAUGCGUCGAGCCGGGGAUGUCUGCUUCUCUCAAGUUUAUCGCGAUCGAGAUGGCCUGCGAGGAAUUGUUGAUUAUACAAACUAUGAAGACAUGAAAUAUGCGAUAAGGAAACUUGACGAUUCUCUUUUUAGGAAUCAAUUUUCUCGUGCUUAUAUACGGGUGGAGGAGUAUGACCGGCGACGUAGCUACUCUAGGAGUCCUAGUAGGAGUCCUUAUUCAAGAAGCCGAAGUCCCAGCCGCAGCUACAGCAGCUAUAGGGGCAGAAGUGUGUCACCUAGGGCUAAGUAUUCUCGCCAUGCUUCAUAUCGAUCUCGUUCUAGAUCUGUCUCUUCACGAUCAUACUCUCUGUCACCUCCUCGCUCUGUUUCAAGAUUUGGCGUUUCGUCGUGGUGUGGGGAUUGCGUGUUAGGGACUUGAUGAUUUGUGGUGCUCAAUCAUGUGUCUCAUUGUGGCAGUAUGCUGUUUAGUCAAUGAGCACCUGCGGUAAGGACGAGGUUUGUAGAGAAAGGACUUGCCACCUCUGGGGUUUUGAUACAAUUAUUAUGAAGAUUGCCUUUUUUGUUUUCUAGAUUUGCCGUUUCCUCGCGGUCUGUGGAUUGCGUGUUAGGGACUUGAUGAUUUGGGUGCUCUAUCAGGCGACUCAUUGUGGCAGUAUGCUGUGUAGUCAAUGAGCACCUGCGAUCUCCCUCACGAUCCAGAACUCCAGCAUCACCACCUCCUAGACGCAAGCGUGCGAGAGUUAGUCCAGAGCUGAGUCCCAGCUAUAGCAGAAGCAGAUCCCUAUCCCAUGCUUCUUCUGUUAGAUCCUACUGAAGCAGAUUUGCAGACUUGAGGUAGCUAGUGCCUAAUUGGCUAUGAGAAUAAACUGUUCUAUGGUACUCAGUCAGUUUAUCGUAACCAUAGAAACUGUGUGACGCUUACAUACAAUUGGACAGACUUUGAACAGUAGUAAAGAAUGGUACCUAUCUGAGAUUUGAAUAUAUUAAAAUCCUGUGAGAUUUUAUGUUGUUUUCAUGUUCUUGAUAUCAUGUUGUGGGUCCCAUUUCGCUACCUAUUGAGCCUCGGUUGUUCAGGGUAUGGCUUGUUGCCAUGCACGAGCACCUUUUGGUGUCUUCGUGCAUGCGAUAUAUCGUGCUAUAUGUUACUUGCAUUUGGAUUACUUACAAUACACGGCUGUAUGAAGGUGUGCUAAAGAAUUUUUUAAUAUUACUCUUCCUGUUCGAUGA
This is an RNA transcript of Olea europaea var. sylvestris, 1859 nucleotides long. It is a transcript of the gene named serine/arginine-rich splicing factor SR30-like, with no coding region annotated. The record is from RefSeq and is a predicted model, not a curated record. The transcript has 15 exons. NCBI's taxonomy places the organism in Eukaryota, Viridiplantae, Streptophyta, Magnoliopsida, Lamiales, Oleaceae.